UACGUAGGUGGCAAGCGUUGUCCGGAAUUAUUGGGCGUAAAGCGCGCGCAGGCGGUCCUUUAAGUCUGAUGUGAAAGCCCACGGCUCAACCGUGGAGGGUCAUUGGAAACUGGGGGACUUGAGUGCAGAAGAGGAAAGCGGAAUUCCACGUGUAGCGGUGAAAUGCGUAGAGAUGUGGAGGAACACCAGUGGCGAAGGCGAGUCCCUGGACAGGUCCUGACGCUGAGGCACGAAAGCUAGGGGAGCAAACAGG
Molecule: ribosomal RNA, 253 nt
Filed under: uncultured bacterium
Lineage: Bacteria
Description: partial 16S ribosomal RNA
Rfam family: Bacterial small subunit ribosomal RNA
Source: RNAcentral